This 1210-nucleotide long non-coding RNA is filed under the name Ananas comosus (pineapple). RNAcentral's name for it is "long non-coding RNA (ACOM_LNC001673)". The record is from RNAcentral. Lineage: Eukaryota; Viridiplantae; Streptophyta; Magnoliopsida; Poales; Bromeliaceae.
AUAACUUAUGUCCUCUUCUUUUUUUCCUUUUUUUUCUAUUUGUUUUGAUCUUGUAAAUAGCACUACAACAAAAACGGUCUAUAGCGACACUUUUAAAUGUCGGUAUAGAUAAAAAAAAGUGCUGCUGGCUAAAUUAUCGACACUUUUAAAAAAUGUUGUUAUAUGUGGGGUCGCUAGGUAUAUAGCGACAGUUAAAGAGUGUCGCUAUAACCUAAAAAGAGUGCUACUAAUUUACCAGCACUUGUUUAAGCAUUUAGUAACUGCCGAAACUCUAUCUCGUUGGCUGCGGUGGCGGAGGAGGACGAGAGGGAAGGGCUCUUCGUCUAGGAUUUCAGUGGAUUGAGUGAGGGGAGAAGGGGAAAUGGUAAUUGAUUUUUCUUUUUUUUUUUCUAUUUGUAAUCGGGCCGAAUGGGCUGGGUGGGGUAGGUUGAGUAAAAUAACCUUUUCUUUUUGGUUGGAUUGGACUUUAUAUUUAGGCAUUAGUAGAUAUUUUUGUAAGUUUUGGCAUAAAUAGGACACUUACACAAAAGUGUCCCAAAUAUGUGUCCCUAUCUGUUGUAGUGUAUAGAAGUGAUUUUAAUUAGUUAUUCUAUUUAUGUCUAUGGUAAGAUAAUUGCUAAAAAUAUGAGGUUUAAUGAAUAUUUUAGCUGGAUUAUUGUCACGCCCCGGGGUCCCUUUUUAGUUUGGAAAAACAGCGGAAACGACUAACUUUUUUUUUUUGAAACACCUGACCCCAGAGUAUGUCAGAGUCGCCACAAAUACAGGGAAUCCACUGUUCACACGGACAGUCUCCCCUGUAUUUGCACGACGUCGCACAAGUACAAUUAUACAACCAGAGUACAACCAGAAUACAACCACAACCAUAUGAACAUACAACCUCAACUGCACAUACAGACGUCCAUACAUUCACCAUUCACAACACGGCGGUAUUCAUAGUUUUAAACAUAAAUCCAGAUCUAUCAUUUGAAACGUUUCCUACCCGGAAACAAGUUUUGAAAUACUAAGUCUCAGAAAUCCAUUGGAAGCUUCUUUUAAGACUGUUUCCCACACGGAAAUCUUUAUCUUUUAAAACACUACCACGAGGGGUAGAAAACCAUUGAAAACUGUAUCGAAUAUGAAAACUCUUUUCUUUUUAAAACAAGCGCUACCACGAGGGGUAGAAAACCAUUUUACUUUGAAAAGCCCAUAAAUCUCUUUUUAUCACAAUACG